This 1357-nucleotide ribosomal RNA is filed under the name metagenome. RNAcentral describes it as "bacterial LSU rRNA". It matches the Rfam family "Bacterial large subunit ribosomal RNA", at positions 1581 to 2925 of the family's 2925-position model. The record is from RNAcentral.
UUAGUCGAAGUCAGUGAUCCCAUGCUGCCAAGAAAAGCCUCUAGCGAGCUUCGAGCGGCCCGUACCCCAAACCGACACAGGUGGUCAGGUAGAGAAUACCGAGGCGAUCGGGCGAACUGUGGUUAAGGAACUCGGCAAAUUACCCCCGUAACUUCGGGAGAAGGGGGGCCACAGACCGUGAAACCCCAUGCGGGUGGCAGCGGUAGGUGGCCGCAGAGACCAGGGGGAAGCGACUGUUACUAAAAACACAGGUCCGUGCGAAGUCGUAAGACGAUGUAUACGGACUGACGCCUGCCCGGUGCUGGAACGUUAAGGGGACCGGUUAGUCAGCAAGGGCGAAGCUGAGAACUUAAGCGCCAGUAAACGGCGGUGGUAACUAUAACCAUCCUAAGGUAGCGAAAUUCCUUGUCGGGUAAGUUCCGACCUGCACGAAUGGCGUAACGACUUCCCUACUGUCUCAACCACAGGCCCGGCGAAAUUGCACUACGAGUAAAGAUGCUCGUUACGCGCGGAAGGACGGAAAGACCCCGGGACCUUCACUAUAGCUUGACAUUGGUACUCGAAUUGAAUUGUGUAGGAUAGGUGGGAGACUAUGAAGCUCGGACGCCAGUCCGGGUGGAGUCAACGUUGAAAUACCACUCUGUUGAAUUUGGGUAUCUAACUUCGGACCGUGAUCCGGUUCAGGGACAGUGUCUGGUGGGUAGUUUAACUGGGGCGGUUGCCUCCUAAAAUGUAACGGAGGCGCCCAAAGGUUCCCUCAGCCUGGUUGGCAAUCAGGUGUUGAGUGCAAGUGCACAAGGGAGCUUGACUGUGAGACUGACAGGUCGAGCAGGGACGAAAGUCGGGACUAGUGAUCCGGCACCGGCGAGUGGAAGCGGUGUCGCUCAACGGAUAAAAGGUACCCCGGGGAUAACAGGCUGAUCUUCCCCAAGAGUCCAUAUCGACGGGAUGGUUUGGCACCUCGAUGUCGGCUCGUCGCAUCCUGGGGCUGGAGUAGGUCCCAAGGGUUGGGCUGUUCGCCCAUUAAAGCGGCACGCGAGCUGGGUUUAGAACGUCGUGAGACAGUUCGGUCCCUAUCCUCCGCGCGCGCAGGAGACUUGAGAAGAGCUGUCCCUAGUACGAGAGGACCGGGACGGACGAACCUCUGGUGUGCCAGUUGUCAUGCCAAUGGCACGGCUGGUUAGCUACGUUCGGAAGGGAUAACCGCUGAAAGCAUCUAAGCGGGAAGCCUGCUUCAAGAUGAGGUCUCCCACCCCCUCGAGGGUUAAGGCCCCCAGCAAGACCACUGGGUUGAUAGGCCAGAAGUGUAAGCCUGGUAACAGGUUCAGCCGACUGGUACUAAUAGGCCGAGGACUUC